GACGAACGCCGGCGGCGUGCCUAAUACAUGCAAGUUGAGCGCUGAAGGUUGGUACUUGUACCGACUGGAUGAGCAGCGAACGGGUGAGUAACGCGUGGGGAAUCUGCCUUUGAGCGGGGGACAACAUUUGGAAACGAAUGCUAAUACCGCAUAAAAACUUUAAACACAAGUUUUAAGUUUGAAAGAUGCAAUUGCAUCACUCAAAGAUGAUCCCGCGUUGUAUUAGCUAGUUGGUGAGGUAAAGGCUCACCAAGGCGAUGAUACAUAGCCGACCUGAGAGGGUGAUCGGCCACAUUGGGACUGAGACACGGCCCAAACUCCUACGGGAGGCAGCAGUAGGGAAUCUUCGGCAAUGGACGAAAGUCUGACCGAGCAACGCCGCGUGAGUGAAGAAGGUUUUCGGAUCGUAAAACUCUGUUGGUAGAGAAGAACGUUGGUGAGAGUGGAAAGCUCAUCAAGUGACGGUAACUACCCAGAAAGGGACGGCUAACUACGUG
Molecule: ribosomal RNA, 497 nt
Filed under: uncultured bacterium
Lineage: Bacteria
Description: partial 16S ribosomal RNA
Rfam family: Bacterial small subunit ribosomal RNA
Source: RNAcentral